This 301-nucleotide ribosomal RNA is filed under the name uncultured bacterium. RNAcentral's name for it is "partial 16S ribosomal RNA". It matches the Rfam family "Bacterial small subunit ribosomal RNA", at positions 510 to 808 of the family's 1533-position model. The record is from RNAcentral.
CACAGCCGCGGGAAUACGGAGGGUGCAAGCGUUGUCCGGAUUUAUUGGGUUUAAAGGGUGCGUAGGCGGCCUAAUAAGUCAAUGGUGAAAGCCUCCAGCUUAACUGGAGAACUGCCAUUGAUACUGUUAGGCUUGAGUAUACUUGAGGUAGGCGGAAUUGACAGUGUAGCGGUGAAAUGCAUAGAUAUUGUCAAGAACACCAAUUGCGAAGGCAGCUUACUAAAUUAUAACUGACGCUGAGGCACGAAAGUGUGGGUAUCAAACAGGAUUAGAUACCCGAGUAGUCCCUGUCUCUUAUACC